This 576-nucleotide ribosomal RNA is filed under the name Paracontias ampijoroensis. Its description in RNAcentral is "partial 16S ribosomal RNA". It matches the Rfam family "Bacterial large subunit ribosomal RNA", at positions 1797 to 2620 of the family's 2925-position model. Lineage: Eukaryota; Metazoa; Chordata; Lepidosauria; Squamata; Scincidae. The record is from RNAcentral.
CGCCUGUUUAUCAAAAACAUAGCCUUUAGCCAAACAAGUAUUAAAGGUCCCGCCUGCCCAGUGAAAAUUAAACGGCCGCGGUAUUCUAACCGUGCAAAGGUAGCGUAAUCACUUGUCUUCUAAAUAAAGACCAGUAUGAACGGCUUAAUGAGGACAGACCUGUCUCUUACAACUAAUCAGUGAAACUGAUCCCCCAGUACAAAAGCUGGGAUACUUACAUAAGACGAGAAGACCCUGUGGAGCUUUAAACCCCUCCGUCACAAGUACAACACAAACUUUUCGCUGGCGGCGUGUUUUAAGUUGGGGCGACUUCGGAACAAAAUAAAACUCCCGAGCACAGAGCCACAAGCUCAAACCGCGGCCAACAAGCCAAAGUUCCACCAAACUAGACCCAGUAACACUGACCAACGAACCAAGUUACCCCAGGGAUAACAGCGCCAUCUUCUUCAAGAGUCCCUAUCGACAAGAAGGUUUACGACCUCGAUGUUGGAUCAGGACACCCAAAUGGUGCAGCCGCUAUUAAAGGUUCGUUUGUUCAACGAUUAACAGUCCUACGUGAUCUGAGUUCAGACCGGA